UUUUCCCUUGGCAGAUCAACCAAUUCACCUCCGUAGAUCUGAUAAGUCAAAUUGGUUGUUAUUAGAGAAAAAACAAUAAAAAGGCGAAUAUUUUUGGUGAAUUUUUUUUUUGUUAGUUCUGAAACGGUGAAACCCUUCCCACUCGAGCACUGAAGAAAGAAAUCAAGUCUCUCAAACCCACAUAAUAUCUUGAUUCCGUUUUAUCUUCCUCUUCAUAUCUCUUGUUUUUCCUCUCUCGAUUGAAGUUGGACAGGGUUUUAGGGUUAGUGCGAAACUAACACCAAAUCAUCCACUGGAAAGAUAAUUAAGAAAUAUUGUUAUUUGGUGUGAAUUGGUAGAAGAAAUGAUUUCUGGUUCCGAUUGAUUACAUACAUAUUUUGUACUUUAUCACAAGUAAGAAAAAAAUUGUUUAUGUGGAGGUUUUAUUCAUUCUAGGGUUUGUUAGUUCUCUGAUUCUGUAUUUGGGGACAAUACUAGGUUUUAUUAUUUGAAUGGUUCAGUUCUCUAUGAAAUGUUUGUAGGAAGGGCUGAGAGAUGAAACAUCUCACUUUCUUCAUACUAUGGUUAUUUAUGAAAUACUUAUUUCUUCAUUUUUCUGAUAAAUUUAAUUUGGAGUUGUAUUAGAUAAAUUUAAUUUGGAGUUGAAUUACAGGAAAAUAAAAAGAUCAUAGAAUAGCAAACAUCCCUUAAUUCUGAAGUAAGUAUUUGUAUAGUAUGUUUUAAACUGGAUUAUGUACAUCAUAAGUGCAGUUGUGAAUCAAAUACAAAGUGAUACCGAUUUAUGGACAAAUAUGCAAUGAAAUUUCAAACAAUGGCAUUACUUACUGUAAUAUACUUGAGUCAGUACCUUUGGAUUUACACGAAUUAAUUUGGUUCAUAUUUCUUUUCUUUUGAUCUGCUAGAUCCAUUUCCAGUUGGUUUUGGGGUUGUCGGUGGAGUUAUAAGCAUUUAUUUUUUGGUUUCUAUAUUAUACAUUGAACUCCAAAUAUCUGAUGCAGUGGAACUCUAGACAUUUGAUGCAGUGGAAAGACAGAAACAGAUCGAGAUAUGGUAAGCAAUGACGAAAUAGUUCCACUUUCAGAAUAGCGCUUCUGUUGCCCCUUCAAUCGGAUGGGAGUCUCAUCAUCAUCAAUAAACUAAAUGCGACCGGCAACAUUUCUUAAGGACCUGUUUGAGUCGCAGUUUAUAAAGGAAAUAUUUUGGUUUAACUACUGUUGGUAAAUGUUAUUUUUCUCAACUAUGGGAAUGUGGAUGGAAGAAGCUACAAAUGCUGUCGGUUAAACUAUUUGCAGUUGUAUUCCCAAGAUUAACUGUACAAAUUUGUAAAUCUAAUUUCAAUUGUAGAUGCUUAAAGUUUUGAGGUAUCGGUUCUUGAUCGUUGUAUUUGCCAACCCCUGAAGGAACCAUACCUAAAAAUACUUAACUGAAGUUUCUGAAGCAGUUAGGGGACAAUAGUUGGGUGGGGAAUUUGUGAGUUUAGGUCGCCAUAUAAUUCAUAUCCACUGUAGUAUGAAAAACUUGAGAGUAUAUAUCAAUUAUUUGAUUAAUUUUUAUGUAGUUUGGUAUUGUUUUUA
This is a long non-coding RNA of Papaver somniferum (opium poppy), 1574 nucleotides long. RefSeq lists it as uncharacterized. The record is from RefSeq and is a predicted model, not a curated record. Lineage: Eukaryota; Viridiplantae; Streptophyta; Magnoliopsida; Ranunculales; Papaveraceae. The transcript has 3 exons.